UAUUGAUUGGCUUAAAUAAAAACCAAAACAAACACGCCCACUUCGCAGAAAAAAAAGAUGACAGAAGAUAGCCCAACAACAGUAGUGAAACAACAGGAUCUUGGUUUAACAAUCGGUAUCUCCUGCGCUCUCUUGCUGGUGUACUUGACUUUAGCUGUGAUCGUGUACCGACCACGACGGAGACGCACAGAAGAUCGAGCGCAUUCUACAUCCGACGAUAUAUAGACGCUUACACCAUGUACCAACCUUGAAUAGGAUAUAAAUGUCUGUCAAAGCCUGAAAGAACAUCCUACCCAUCCAUCUUUCUGUGUGGCAUAUUGUGAUGUUCAAAUACUGAGGAGUUUGGAUCGAAUGAUAUACUAGUAAUAUUUAAUCAAAUUAUGUGUUCAUUGUCUUAAAGAACAAGUAUGUGCAUAAGGAAUGGACUUCUAAUCAACUUAUUUAAUUGCACGUGUAUUCUAUAUACUAUGCUGUCCAUGGAAUGAAAUGACUAUAUUGGUAUCGUUCUCAUAUCAUGUAUUUGCAUCAAAAACAUGCUGGUAGUAUCUAACUGUGUAUCUAUCAAAUGUUUGAAUACUUCAUGAAGAACAUUGUCAGAAAGAAUCGUUCUACUGCCAUUUUUAUUAAAUUUAAGUUGCAUGAUGCACGCUUAUGUUUUGAAACGAAUGGAAAGAAUCUGUACAUAUGGUAACUGUAUUUUGUGCAUUUGUAAAUGACAUUAAGCCGUUUCGCUUGAGGUAACAAUAUAGCGUUAGAUUUUUUAUAAAAGAGUUUUAACAAAAUGUAACUUCUGCAUAGUAUAUCUCCUGUGGCAUUGACUUACUGGCUGCUGCGCGGAGAGAAUACUUAGAUUUAAUUUGUAGAGACAUUAUACAGUUGCGAAUUGUACAAAAGUAUGACAGUGAUAAAAAUAAUCAUGUUUUAAUAUAUAUUUCGAAUAACAGACAUUAAUGUAUAUGUACACUUUAAAUAUACAGAGUAAAUCGUUUAAUAAGUUAUUUUGAUUUUAUUUCAGUCAAUACUUUUUAAGAAAUAACACGAAAAUAUACAAUACAAAACACAUAUGAAACAUAAACACGACCAGAACAACAAUUUCAGGCCUGGUGAAUUCCUUACAGCAGCCUAGGAGCACGUACACGAACGGAAGCCCCCUGUCCCCACUCCCCCCACCCCCACACACACACAUUUGGCAACAAAAAUGAUUUUGCACAGAAAUCUCAGCAAUAAGGGAGGAAAACCUAUUUCAGAGGGCAUUCAGACGUACUGGUAAGAGUUGUAUACGAUUUCUAAUUGUCAAGGGCGUUUUUGUUUUUGGCUGUCCAAAUAUUUUGUAGGAAAAUAGGGUAAGGUUUGACUGGUCGCCCAUCCUCCUAAUCCCAUCCACUUCAAUUUUGAAAUCGCCCUACGCCAGUGUCCUCCUUCAACAUUAGGUGACUGAAUUACAAAGCGAAAUCCCUAUAGUUUACACCAUGAAUCAUUCAAGAAUACAUUUGUAUUUUCAUUUCAAAUAACAUAUAAAAACAA
Long non-coding RNA from Mercenaria mercenaria, 1524 nucleotides. RefSeq lists it as uncharacterized. Lineage: Eukaryota; Metazoa; Mollusca; Bivalvia; Venerida; Veneridae. The transcript has 2 exons. The record is from RefSeq and is a predicted model, not a curated record.